UAUCCCCCAAACUAAGGGGGGAUGAGAACCACCGACCGGGGUUCGACAACUGGCGCAGCCAGUUGGACAGACGACGAGCCUGCGAGGAGACUGCCCGAAGGGCGAGCGCAGCGAGUCAAUCCCCCCCCUCACCGCCA
RNAcentral lists this small RNA (137 nucleotides) under Salmonella enterica. RNAcentral's name for it is "RtT sRNA". It matches the Rfam family "RtT RNA". From Rfam's summary of the family: This family represents a bacterial cis-regulatory element known as RtT RNA. The exact function of RtT is unknown although it is thought that it may be involved in changing the cellular response in relation to amino acid starvation. RNAcentral also lists the same sequence under 2 other names. Lineage: Bacteria; Pseudomonadati; Pseudomonadota; Gammaproteobacteria; Enterobacterales; Enterobacteriaceae. The record is from RNAcentral.